Molecule: long non-coding RNA, 447 nt
Filed under: Homo sapiens (human)
Lineage: Eukaryota; Metazoa; Chordata; Mammalia; Primates; Hominidae
Description: non-protein coding VLDLR-AS1:2
Source: RNAcentral
AUGCGGCAUGUUCUCAUAUGGCACUGUUCUGGGCUUUCAUCUGAACCAUCUUCGCAGUCAGGAUCUCCAUCACACUUCCAUCGGCUGGGAACACACUGGCCAUUGUUGCACACGAAGUCAGAUUCAGCACACGUCUUCUUUACUACAUUCUUUUCAUCACUGCCGUCAACACAGUCUUCAUCCCCAUCACAUUUCCACAACAGCGUAAUACAGCGACCAUUUGUGCACUGGAAUUGGGAGGGUUCACAUUUGGCUUUUCUCCCUAGAGUUCCGGUGGCGCCGCUCUCCCGGGGCGCCCAGCACAGCGCGAGCAGCAGCCAGAGCGCCCAGAGCGCGGACGUGCCCAUGGUGCCCGCCUGGAUGGUGCCGCCGCCGCCGCCGCCGCCGCCGUUCGCUCCGCACGACAAGUUACCAGUCCUUCCGAAAGGAGGAAGAAGGUGGGGGCGG